ACGGCUAUUACGCGUUGAAACAACGGUUCUUGUACGAUCACCGAAGUUAAGCAACGUCGAGCCUGGUCAGUACCUAGAUGGGCGAUCGCUAUGAAAUACCAGGGGCUGUAA
Non-coding RNA from Acanthosepion pharaonis, 111 nucleotides. NCBI's taxonomy places the organism in Eukaryota, Metazoa, Mollusca, Cephalopoda, Sepiida, Sepiidae. The record is from the annotation of a GenBank genome assembly.